AAGAGUAAGGGUGCUCAGCGCCCGACCUCCAACCCUUUGUUGUUAAAACUACCUUGUUGCUUUGGCGGGACCGCUCGGUCUCGAGCCGCUGGGGAUUCGUCCCAGGCGAGCGCCCGCCAGAGUUAAACCAAACUCUUGUUAUUUAACCGGUCGUCUGAGUUAAAAUUUUGAAUAAAUCA
RNAcentral lists this unclassified non-coding RNA (179 nucleotides) under soil metagenome. RNAcentral describes it as "partial internal transcribed spacer 1". The record is from RNAcentral.